Molecule: small nuclear RNA, 85 nt
Organism: Bos grunniens (domestic yak)
Lineage: Eukaryota; Metazoa; Chordata; Mammalia; Artiodactyla; Bovidae
Gene: U2
Rfam family: U2 spliceosomal RNA
About the family: U2 is a small nuclear RNA (snRNA) component of the spliceosome (involved in pre-mRNA splicing). Complementary binding between U2 snRNA (in an area lying towards the 5' end but 3' to hairpin I) and the branchpoint sequence (BPS) of the intron results the bulging out of an unpaired adenosine, on the BPS, which initiates a nucleophilic attack at the intronic 5' splice site, thus starting the first of two transesterification reactions that mediate splicing.
Source: Ensembl
AUUGCUUCUCAGCCUUUUAGCUAAGAUCAAGUGUGGUAUCUGUUCUCAAUGAAACUAUGAGCCAUGCUGUGUAGGGCCACCCAAA